UGGCGCACAAAGAUGGAAGCCUA
RNAcentral lists this non-coding RNA (23 nucleotides) under Arabidopsis thaliana (thale cress). Lineage: Eukaryota; Viridiplantae; Streptophyta; Magnoliopsida; Brassicales; Brassicaceae. The record is from RNAcentral.